Triticum aestivum (bread wheat) is the source of this 115-nucleotide non-coding RNA. NCBI's taxonomy places the organism in Eukaryota, Viridiplantae, Streptophyta, Magnoliopsida, Poales, Poaceae. The record is from Rfam.
CAACUACUCCCUCUGUCCCAAAGUUCUUGUCUUAGAUUUGUCUAGAUACGGAUGUAUCAUACAUCUGUAUCUAGACAAAUCUAAGACAAGAAUUUUGGGACGAAGGGAGUACUUU